UACGUAGGGUCCGAGCGUUGUCCGGAAUUAUUGGGCGUAAAGGGCUCGUAGGCGGUUUGUCGCGUCGGGAGUGAAAACACCGGGCUUAACUCGGUGCUUGCUUUCGAUACGGGCAGACUGGAGGUAUGCAGGGGAGAACGGAAUUCCUGGUGUAGCGGUGAAAUGCGCAGAUAUCAGGAGGAACACCGGUGGCGAAGGCGGUUCUCUGGGCAUUAACUGACGCUGAGGAGCGAAAGCAUGGGGAGCGAACAGG
RNAcentral lists this ribosomal RNA (253 nucleotides) under uncultured bacterium. RNAcentral describes it as "partial 16S ribosomal RNA". It matches the Rfam family "Bacterial small subunit ribosomal RNA", at positions 524 to 776 of the family's 1533-position model. The record is from RNAcentral.